UACAGAGGUCUCAAGCGUUGUUCGGAUUCAUUGGGCGUAAAGGGUGCGUAGGCGGCGCGGUAAGUCGGGUGUGAAAUCUCGGGGCUUAACUCCGAAACUGCAUUCGAUACUACCGUGCUUGAGGACUGGAGAGGAGACUGGAAUUUACGGUGUAGCGGUGAAAUGCGUAGAUAUCGUAAGGAAGACCAGUAGCGAAGGCGGGUCUCUGGACAGUUCCUGACGCUGAGGCACGAAGGCCAGGGGAGCAAACGGG
This 253-nucleotide ribosomal RNA is filed under the name uncultured bacterium. Its description in RNAcentral is "partial 16S ribosomal RNA". It matches the Rfam family "Bacterial small subunit ribosomal RNA", at positions 524 to 776 of the family's 1533-position model. The record is from RNAcentral.